This 72-nucleotide transfer RNA is filed under the name Ornithorhynchus anatinus (platypus). It matches the Rfam family "tRNA". From Rfam's summary of the family: Transfer RNA (tRNA) molecules are approximately 80 nucleotides in length. Their secondary structure includes four short double-helical elements and three loops (D, anti-codon, and T loops). Further hydrogen bonds mediate the characteristic L-shaped molecular structure. tRNAs have two regions of fundamental functional importance: the anti-codon, which is responsible for specific mRNA codon recognition, and the 3' end, to which the tRNAs corresponding amino acid is attached (by aminoacyl-tRNA synthetases). tRNAs cope with the degeneracy of the genetic code in two manners: having more than one tRNA (with a specific anti-codon) for a particular amino acid; and 'wobble' base-pairing, i.e. permitting non-standard base-pairing at the 3rd anti-codon position. The record is from Rfam by way of RNAcentral. Lineage: Eukaryota; Metazoa; Chordata; Mammalia; Monotremata; Ornithorhynchidae.
AGCAGCGUGGCUUAGUGGAAAGAGCACGGGCUUGGGAGCCAGAGGUCAUGGGUUCGAAUCCCAGCUCUGCCA